UACGUAGGGGGCAAGCGUUGUUCGGAAUUACUGGGCGUAAAGGGCGCGUAGGCGGCCUGUUAAGUCGGACGUGAAAUCCCCGGGCUCAACCCGGGAACUGCGUCCGAUACUGGCAGGCUUGAAUCCGGGAGAGGGAUGUGGAAUUCCAGGUGUAGCGGUGAAAUGCGUAGAUAUCUGGAGGAACACCGGUGGCGAAGGCGGCAUCCUGGACCGGCAUUGACGCUGAGGCGCGAAAGCCAGGGGAGCAAACGGG
This 253-nucleotide ribosomal RNA is filed under the name uncultured bacterium. RNAcentral describes it as "partial 16S ribosomal RNA". It matches the Rfam family "Bacterial small subunit ribosomal RNA", at positions 524 to 776 of the family's 1533-position model. The record is from RNAcentral.